Molecule: non-coding RNA, 25 nt
Filed under: Arabidopsis thaliana (thale cress)
Lineage: Eukaryota; Viridiplantae; Streptophyta; Magnoliopsida; Brassicales; Brassicaceae
Source: RNAcentral
GCAUGAAUACUUUUGGCCUGCACAC